RNAcentral lists this transfer RNA (85 nucleotides) under Oscarella carmela. RNAcentral describes it as "tRNA-Ser". It matches the Rfam family "tRNA". From Rfam's summary of the family: Transfer RNA (tRNA) molecules are approximately 80 nucleotides in length. Their secondary structure includes four short double-helical elements and three loops (D, anti-codon, and T loops). Lineage: Eukaryota; Metazoa; Porifera; Homoscleromorpha; Homosclerophorida; Oscarellidae. The record is from RNAcentral. RNAcentral also lists the same sequence under 1 other name.
GGAAAGAUGGCAGAGUGGUUAAUGCAGUUGUCUUGAAAACAACAACCCUCUUGUGGGUUCAUGGGUUCAAAUCCCAUUCUUUCCU